Long non-coding RNA from Ornithorhynchus anatinus (platypus), 636 nucleotides. RefSeq lists it as uncharacterized. NCBI's taxonomy places the organism in Eukaryota, Metazoa, Chordata, Mammalia, Monotremata, Ornithorhynchidae. The record is from RefSeq and is a predicted model, not a curated record. The transcript is spliced from 3 exons.
GGCGGGAGCUCGGUGGCCCUGCCUGCUUAUUGGCAGCAGGUCCCGGUCACCGCUAUAAAGCCAAAGCCUGACCAGCCUUGGCCAGUGGGCCUCUGACCCUGGUAGCCCACCCUCAGAGGAGCCACCUCCCUGGAGACCAGCAAGGGACAUCGACUCAUUUCGAAGUAGAGGCGGUCACUGAGGCCCGGAGAAGUGAAGACAGCCCAGCAGAGGAGUGGGCGAGGGGAGGAUUAGAACCCACGACGUCUGACUCCCAUUCUUACUCCAUUGCACUUUCCGGGCUUGGCACAUAAUGCGGUCCCGGAGGCCCGGAGCGGCGACGACAGCUCAGCAGAGGAGCGGGCGCGGGGAGGAUUAGAACCCACGACGUCUGGCUCCCAAGCCCGGGCUGCUUUUUUUCCCCGGCUCCCGGAGGGAAAAGGGUCGGUGCAGGGAGGUGCAGGGAGGUGCAGGGAGGUGCAGUGCGGUGCAGGGAGGUGCAGGGAGGUGCAGUGCGAUGCGGUGGCUGGAGCGGCUGCGGCAGGGCGGGGCGGGCCGGUCCCGGGCGGGGCGGGCCGCAGCCUGGGCCUCCGCCUCCGGCAGGGUGCUGACCCCGGCCGCCAUCCCCGAGUUCUGCAUCCCCCCGCGACUGCGGGG